UCCUCCUUAGCUCAGUAGGUAGAGCGCAUGACUGUUAAUCAUGAUGCCGUUGGUUCGAGCCCGACAGGGGGAGCCA
RNAcentral lists this transfer RNA (76 nucleotides) under Oscillospiraceae bacterium. Its description in RNAcentral is "tRNA-Asn". It matches the Rfam family "tRNA". From Rfam's summary of the family: Transfer RNA (tRNA) molecules are approximately 80 nucleotides in length. Their secondary structure includes four short double-helical elements and three loops (D, anti-codon, and T loops). Further hydrogen bonds mediate the characteristic L-shaped molecular structure. tRNAs have two regions of fundamental functional importance: the anti-codon, which is responsible for specific mRNA codon recognition, and the 3' end, to which the tRNAs corresponding amino acid is attached (by aminoacyl-tRNA synthetases). tRNAs cope with the degeneracy of the genetic code in two manners: having more than one tRNA (with a specific anti-codon) for a particular amino acid; and 'wobble' base-pairing, i.e. permitting non-standard base-pairing at the 3rd anti-codon position. The record is from RNAcentral. Lineage: Bacteria; Bacillati; Bacillota; Clostridia; Eubacteriales; Oscillospiraceae.